GCCCGGUUAGCUCAAUCGGUAGAGCGUGAGACUCUUAAUCUCAAGGUUGCGGGUAAGUUCACGUCAGAUUAUAUGUCUAAAUCUUAGAUGCAAAAUAUUAACAAAUAAUAAAUAGGUUCGACCCCCGCAUCGGGCU
Molecule: non-coding RNA, 136 nt
Organism: Xylariaceae sp. FL0594
Lineage: Eukaryota; Fungi; Ascomycota; Sordariomycetes; Xylariales; Xylariaceae
Source: the annotation of a GenBank genome assembly